GCCGAGUGUUCAGAUGGGUUCAGCUUUGAGCUGCAGCUUUCUCCAGGAAAACACAGCCCCUGAGACAUGCUGUGCUCACCUGGAGGGCUCUGCCUCCCUCCCUGCCAGACAUCCUCCACGCUGCAGUCCCAUGCCCACAGCGUUCCGGUGGCUCUGCGCUCCCCACCAAGGUUCAGGCUGAUCCUGGUCUCCACCGCCAGCCUCAGCCAAGUGUGCCCUGUCAUUCUGCAGGUGAGACACAGGACCCAAGGCCAUGCCCGUGUGGAGUGAGGAGCAGCCCCGCGCUCACCCGUCACUGCAGACACCCUGCGGCCACCGAGCCCCCCCCCGCGCUGCAGCCUCAGCACAGCCAUGGACAGCGCAGAGGUGGAGUCGGACAUCCUGCGCCGCGUCCGCACGCUGCUGCGAGAGCUGGAUGGGCACCACCCCGCCUGCCAGUGCGACCGAGGUAGGACAGACCCAGGCACGGCCCCGGGGUCAGCACCCGCCCCAAACCCACGUCGCUCCCCGGGGUGGAGGGACACGGGGCAGCCUCACCUCCCUGGUGCUGGUCUGCCCUUUCUAACCUGCUCUUGGAGCUGUCUGCCCCUCAGCAGCUUCCAUCCCUCCUCUACGUGGCUCUUACGUCCUUUAUACCCUCCACUUGCCCAGAAGGUCCAACACUGAGGUGGGAUGACAGUGAAUGCCGGAGUCUGUGAUGCUGUUCCCACACAGACCUGCCCAACUCGCUUAACACCCGUGAACUGGGAGUCUCCCUGUCUCUCCCUAUGGGAUAUUGCUUUGCCACAUGCUGCUCAGCUCCUCCUAAAGAGUCAGCUGGAAUCCUCGUGUUAUGGUUUUGGAGAAGCAAACCCUAGCUGACGUGGCAACUGGACUGCUGCAGUCUCAGG
RNAcentral lists this long non-coding RNA (890 nucleotides) under Strigops habroptila (Kakapo). RNAcentral describes it as "lncRNA (ENSSHBG00005018334.1)". Lineage: Eukaryota; Metazoa; Chordata; Aves; Psittaciformes; Psittacidae. The record is from RNAcentral.